RNAcentral lists this ribosomal RNA (482 nucleotides) under Melaloncha corniculata. Its description in RNAcentral is "partial 16S ribosomal RNA". Lineage: Eukaryota; Metazoa; Arthropoda; Insecta; Diptera; Phoridae. The record is from RNAcentral.
GUUUAUCAAAAACAUGUCUUUUUGAAUUUAAUUUAAAGUCUAACCUGCCCACUGAAAUUUUAAAUGGCCGCAGUAUUUUAACUGUGCAAAGGUAGCAUAAUCAUUAGUCUUUUAAUUGAAGGCUGGAAUGAAUGGUUGAAUGAAAUAUUAACUGUUUCAUAUAAAUUUUUAGUAGAAUUUUAUUUUUUAGUCAAAAAGCUAAAAUUUAAUUAAAAGACGAGAAGACCCUAUAAAUCUUUAUAUCUUUUUUUUUAAUUAUUAUACAGAUAAUUUAAAUUUUUAUAAAAGCAGAUAUUUUAUUGGGGUGAUAUUAAAAUUUAAAAAACUUUUAAUUAAUAAAAUACAAAAAUUAAUGAAUUUUUGAUCCAUAUAUAAUGAUUAAGAAAUUAAGUUACUUUAGGGAUAACAGCGUAAUUUUUUUAGAGAGUUCAUAUUAAUAAAAAAGUUUGCGACCUCGAUGUUGGAUUAAGAUAAAAUUUAGG